RNAcentral lists this ribosomal RNA (576 nucleotides) under Campostoma anomalum (central stoneroller). RNAcentral's name for it is "partial large subunit ribosomal RNA". It matches the Rfam family "Bacterial large subunit ribosomal RNA", at positions 1816 to 2597 of the family's 2925-position model. Lineage: Eukaryota; Metazoa; Chordata; Actinopteri; Cypriniformes; Leuciscidae. The record is from RNAcentral.
CGCCUCCUGCAACUAACUGAGUAUAGGAGGUCCAGCCUGCCCAGUGACUACGGGUUUAACGGCCGCGGUAUUUUGACCGUGCAAAGGUAGCGCAAUCACUUGUCUCUUAAAUAGAGACCUGUAUGAAUGGCUAGACGAGGGCUUAACUGUCUCCCCCCUUCAGUCAGUGAAAUUGAUCUAUCCGUGCAGAAGCGGGUAUACUACUACAAGACGAGAAGACCCUUUGGAGCUUAAGGUAUAAAAUUCAACCACGUUAAACGACUCUAUAAAAAGCAGGAACUUAGUGGCCGUGAAAUUUUACCUUCGGUUGGGGCGACCACGGAGUAAAAAUCAACCUCCGAGUGGACUGGGCCAAACCCCUAGAACUAAGAGAAACAUCUCUAAGCCACAGAACAUCUGACCAAUAAUGAUCCGACUACAAUAGUCGAUCAACGAACCAAGUUACCCUAGGGAUAACAGCGCAAUCCUCUCCCAGAGCCCAUAUCAACGAGAGGGUUUACGACCUCGAUGUUGGAUCAGGACAUCCUAAUGGUGCAGCCGCUAUUAAGGGUUCGUUUGUUCAACGAUUAAAGUCCU